RNAcentral lists this ribosomal RNA (370 nucleotides) under uncultured organism. RNAcentral's name for it is "partial 16S ribosomal RNA". It matches the Rfam family "Bacterial small subunit ribosomal RNA", at positions 527 to 896 of the family's 1533-position model. The record is from RNAcentral.
GAAGGGGGCUAGCGUUGCUCGGAAUCACUGGGCGUAAAGGGUGCGUAGGCGGGUCUUUAAGUCAGGGGUGAAAUCCUGGAGCUCAACUCCAGAACUGCCUUUGAUACUGAAGAUCUUGAGUAUGUGAGAGGUGAGUGGAACUGCGAGUGUAGAGGUGAAAUUCGUAGAUAUUCGCAAGAACACCAGUGGCGAAGGCGGCUCACUGGCCCAUAACUGACGCUGAGGCACGAAAGCGUGGGGAGCAAACAGGAUUAGAUACCCUGGUAGUCCACGCCCGUAAACGAUGAAUGCCAGCCGUUCGUGGGUUUACUCACAAGUGGCGCAGCUAACGCUUUAAGCAUUCCGCCUGGGGAGUACGGUCGCAAGAUUA